Non-coding RNA from Zootermopsis nevadensis, 73 nucleotides. NCBI's taxonomy places the organism in Eukaryota, Metazoa, Arthropoda, Insecta, Blattodea, Termopsidae. The record is from Rfam.
GCCACGGUGGUCUAGCGGUUAGAACGCUGGCCUUGUAAUCCUGGGGUCUCGGGUUCGAUUCCCGGCGGUGCCG